ACAAAUAAAUCAAUAGCAAUAAUUCAUAUACAUUGUAAAUAUAAUACAUUGUUACUUACUUCACUUGAAAUACUUUUAAUCAAACACUUAGUUUACUUGAAAUACUUUUCCAGCAAACAAUAAUGAUCAUAGCCCACGAACAGAAACAAUUACAAGCAAUUCAAUAAAGCAACAAAAGACAAACCAGACAAGGAAACAAAGAAAUUCAACUAAACAAUCAUCAUAACCAAGAAAUACAUCUAAAGUCUGAGUUUUGCCAUUAUACAAAGAACAGGAAACUCAAAUCAAAAUUACAGAAUUUGAGGCAAAUGAACACAACCCAGAUAAUAGCUAUCAUAAACACAAACUUUAAGAAAACAACCGAUACCACUCAUAAGUGCAUAAUAUAUAUUACAAAUUCCACAGGUAAAUAUAAAAAAAAUUGAAACUUGUUAAAAUAUCAGGGCAUGAACUCUGCUCAAAGAAGUUUGAGAUGGAUUUUUAUUAGGGGAAUUUCAUUAAACAGGGGCUGUGCAUGUCUACAAAAAGCAACUACAAAAAUAAAAUCUACAAUAAAAACAGUGGUUACAAGCAGCAAAUAAAUCACGCAUGACCCAUCACCCAUCAAUUUAUUCUAAACAAAAGCCCCAACAUAUUAUGAACAAAGAGGAAGAAAAUGAAAAAUUGCAUGUAAUAGAAUAAAGGAGCACUAAAAAAUGAACAACGGGUGAAGAAAAACGCACCACUGACAGAGGCGUAUGAGAGUGGCCGGUGUCGGAAUUGCAUCAAUUAGAACUGCCACAGUCGGAAUCGUGCAGAUGAGAAUGGGCGUUUAGGGUUUGUUUCACAAAAAAAAAAAAUUGAUUUGAAAUGAAGUUAAAAAAUGAGGAGGAUGAAAUUGAAAUUGAAUAAUAUGUAAGGCUAAUUUAGUAAUUUAAUUUACAGCUGAAAAAAAAAUUGUUAAAUUGCCAAAGCCUAGCUACAAGUGUUGCCCAGCUACCUCACCACACUCCCAAACAGGCUCCUCGAGUUGUCAGUCAACGCAUGACUUUGACUAAAUGAAACACAACACACAAGCACUGGUGGAGUAGAAGAUCUCAUUCGGCACGCCAUGAAGGAAAAGUUAAG
RNAcentral lists this long non-coding RNA (1107 nucleotides) under Citrus sinensis (sweet orange). RNAcentral describes it as "long non-coding RNA (CSIN_LNC005514)". Lineage: Eukaryota; Viridiplantae; Streptophyta; Magnoliopsida; Sapindales; Rutaceae. The record is from RNAcentral.